UUAAAAUUUAAAAAAAAAAGAAGGAAAAAGCAAAGAAAGAAAGGAAAGGGAAAGGUGUGUUCUUCUUCUCACGCGCGUCGGCCCCCUCCGGACUUCUCGAUUUUUCUCGCGACCCAAUCUCCCUCCUCACGAUUUUUCCUUCCUUCUGCCGCCAACGACGCACGAGUCUACGGCAUCCCUCUCUAUCUCUUCACCACUCGAUUCGACUAGACGCCGCUGCACGAACCAACGCUGCGUCCCCACCAAUCACUGCUCAGAACGUGGUCGAUCUCGUCCUCACGUGAAGCGGCCAAUUCGUCAUCUAAACCGCGUCGUCCACCGCAAUUUUCAACCAGUCACCACCGUUCGGAUGAUCAAACCCUAGCAGUCGCCGCUCUCUUUGGCGUCACCUGGCUGUUCACGUCGUGGAUCGAACGUUGGAUCCCUGAAUUGGGGUGUUGGAUUUGGAUUCCUCGGAGGGUUUAGCUGCUAUCCAGUCGCAAGAAGAUUUGAAUUUGGGGGUUGGACAUAAUUUUGGCACCAUCUACCGUCGUCAGGGGGUUUCAGGGCUGAAAGAGGCCGUGGCUGGAGAUCCGAUAACCUGAGCCUAGGUGAGGAUGUGGUGGAGGAGUGUGAUAUGACUUCGAGCUAGUUUAACCCAUGAUAGGUGACUCUAUGUGCACAUAAGAGCGAAGAUGGAGGUGGAUAUUGUAGUAGGUGCUAAGUACGCGUGAGCUCCGUUUGACCAUGUGUUUCCUUGUGAAUAUGGAUCACGUGUGAGCUAUUCCGGGCGGUAUAUUUAGAAUGCUCUCAUGGUUGGAUUUAAGGGAUGAUGUUAUCGUGGUAGGUGCUAAGUAUGUGAGCUCCGUUUGGCCACGUGUUUCCUUGUGGAUAUGGAUCACGUGCGAGCUAUUUUGGGCCGUGUAUUUAGUAUGCUAUCUUGGUCAGAUUGGAUGAAUGUUGUUAUCGUGACGAACAUUAAAUAUGCAUGAGCUAGUUUUGGCUGCAUGAUUCUUUGAUCAUGUGUGAGCUAUUCUUCAUCGUAUAUCUAGGUGUCUUGCCAUGGUUGGAUCGACUACAGGUUUGUUGGUUGACUUGUAGAUUAUGUGGCGAUAAGUUUUUAAUCAAUAUUUUAUUUAUCGAUGUAUAUUUACACAUCUUGGACCCACACAUUAUCAAGAUAGAAACCAAAUUUGGUCUGAGUUGUCUCUUUUUUCA
This is a long non-coding RNA of Cucumis sativus (cucumber), 1197 nucleotides long. RefSeq lists it as uncharacterized. The transcript has 3 exons. The record is from RefSeq and is a predicted model, not a curated record. NCBI's taxonomy places the organism in Eukaryota, Viridiplantae, Streptophyta, Magnoliopsida, Cucurbitales, Cucurbitaceae.